UCGAGGAAAAGAAACUAACAAGGAUUCCCCUAGUAACGGCGAGUGAAGCGGGAAGAGCUCAAAUUUGAAAUCUGGCGGUCUACGGCCGUCCGAGUUGUAGUCUAGAGAAGUGUUUUCCGUGCUGGACCGUGUACAAGUCCCUUGGAAUAGGGCGUCGUAGAGGGUGAGAAUCCCGUCUCUGACACGGACUACCAGUGCUCUGUGAUGCACUCUCGAAGAGUCGAGUUGUUUGGGAAUGCAGCUCAAAAUGGGUGGUAAAUUCCAUCUAAAGCUAAAUAUUGGUGGAAGACCGAUAGCGAACAAGUACCGUGAGGGAAAGAUGAAAAGCACUUUGGAAAGAGAGUUAAACAGUACGUGAAAUUGUUGAAAGGGAAACGCUUGAAGUCAGUCGCGUCCUUCGAGAUUCAGCUUGGCCUUGGCCUGGUGUAUUUCUUGUUGGACGGGCCAGCAUCAAUUUUGACCACUGGAUAAAGGCAGGGGGAAUGUGGCACCUCCGGGUGUGUUAUAGCCCCUUGUUGUAUACAGUGGUUGGGAUUGAGGUCUGCAGCACGCCUUUAUUGGCCGGGGUUCGCCCACGUUACGUGCUUAGGAUGCUGGCGUAAUGGCUUUAAGCGACCCUCUA
RNAcentral lists this ribosomal RNA (622 nucleotides) under Sphaerobolus cuprophilus. RNAcentral describes it as "Sphaerobolus sp. PK-2022a partial large subunit ribosomal RNA". It matches the Rfam family "Eukaryotic large subunit ribosomal RNA", at positions 51 to 655 of the family's 3401-position model. The record is from RNAcentral. Lineage: Eukaryota; Fungi; Basidiomycota; Agaricomycetes; Geastrales; Sphaerobolaceae.